RNAcentral lists this ribosomal RNA (449 nucleotides) under uncultured bacterium. RNAcentral's name for it is "partial 16S ribosomal RNA". It matches the Rfam family "Bacterial small subunit ribosomal RNA", at positions 28 to 523 of the family's 1533-position model. The record is from RNAcentral.
AACGAACGCUGGCGGCAUGCCUAACACAUGCAAGUCGAGCGCCGUAGCAAUACGGAGCGGCGCACGGGUGAGUAACGCGUGGGAACCUGCUCAGAGGUUCGGGACAACCGCGGGAAACUGCGGCUGAUACCGGAUGAUACCUGAGGGUCAAAGAUUUAUCGCCUUUGGAGGGGCCCGCGUCAGAUUAGGUAGUUGGUGGGGUAACGGCCUACCAAGCCUGUGAUCUGUAGCUGGUCUGAGAGGAUGACCAGCCACACUGGGACUGAGCCACGGCCCAGACUGCUACGGGAGGCAGCAGUGGGGAGUAUUGGACAAUGGGGGCAACCCUGAUCCAGCAAUGCCGCGUGGGUGAUGAAGGCCUUCGGGUUGUAAAGCCCUUUCGGCGUGGACGAUGAUGACGGUACCCGCAGAAGAAGCCCCGGCUAACUUCGUGCCAGCAGCCGCCGCAG